GUUUGAUCCUGGCUCAGAACGAACGCUGGCGGCAGGCUUAACACAUGCAAGUCGAGCGCCCCGCAAGGGGAGCGGCAGACGGGUGAGUAACGCGUGGGAAUCUACCCUUGACUACGGAAUAACGCAGGGAAACUUGUGCUAAUACCGUAUGUGUCCUUCGGGAGAAAGAUUUAUCGGUCAAGGAUGAGCCCGCGUUGGAUUAGCUAGUUGGUGGGGUAAAGGCCUACCAAGGCGACGAUCCAUAGCUGGUCUGAGAGGAUGAUCAGCCACAUUGGGACUGAGACACGGCCCAAACUCCUACGGGAGGCAGCAGUGGGGAAUAUUGGACAAUGGGCGCAAGCCUGAUCCAGCCAUGCCGCGUGAGUGAUGAAGGCCCUAGGGUUGUAAAGCUCU
RNAcentral lists this ribosomal RNA (393 nucleotides) under Rhizobium leguminosarum. RNAcentral describes it as "bacterial SSU rRNA". It matches the Rfam family "Bacterial small subunit ribosomal RNA", at positions 11 to 434 of the family's 1533-position model. Lineage: Bacteria; Pseudomonadati; Pseudomonadota; Alphaproteobacteria; Hyphomicrobiales; Rhizobiaceae. The record is from RNAcentral.